AUUCACCAUCGUCUUCUAAAAUCAGAAAAAUGUUAUAAUACUUGCAAAAACUCUUCUCUAUUGUUCUCUAAUAUGAAUUCACUUACUGUGGGUGAAUUUACUUCCGGAAGUGACUUUUGUCAGACCCAAGCAGUCCAACAUUGUAAAUGUUAUAAGCUCUCACUGACAAUGCAGAUCUGUCCUGGCUGACUCACUGAGUCGUUCUGACCCCCUCUGCAGGACACCAUUCAUAGAGAAUCACCUCUGGCAACCAGAACAACAGGCCACUUUAAAUGUGAAAAGCUCUCCCUGUUUGAGUCAGAUGGUUCUACCCUGAGGUGUUUACUACACCAGCACAUGGCCAACAGGAAUCACAACACUUCCUAUUUCAGUGACAGAGGACAGCAGAUUCCAGUCGACGUAUUUUCUCUAGAGCCUUGGCUGUUUUCAUCCUAAUUAGGAGUGCCAUGGUGUGAUUGAGUGGGACAGAAUGCCCGCUUCAAUCGCUGUUACUCCGAAUGAUGUGGCUGUUAACGUCCUUCUGAGUUACGCCACUGUUAUCCGCAGGCUUGCACAACAAGCUCUCCCCGCCCCUCACGAGGUGACCUCUUACACAUCUAGUAUGAACACAGCUGUCUGAAAUUAUGAACCGGUGCUCUGCUAGGCUUCAAAAGUAGAAAAAGGUGGCUUUUGUCUACAUGAUUUUGUGCAUUUUAAGUUACCGUGCCUGCUUUCACAAGUGCUGCAAUGUUCUUGUGUCCUGCAAGGAAGGUGGGAGAGAACAAGUCUCUCUUCCUGAUCUAGCCACUCAAAGCCCACCUUCUGCCCUCCCUCCCUUUUUUUUUUGUUGCUGUUAGCCCCUUCUCGGGAAUGUUCCUCUCCAGGCCAGGGAGAAGUCACUACAAUGGAAUGCAGAGCACGGCCUCUCCAAAAAGCACUGUUGACUUUAAAAGGCCAGAAUAUGAAAGCAAACACUCCAGUUCCAAUUUCACUCGAGUUUGUUCCAUGUGUUCACUUUUGGGCUUCAGAUCGAGAAAUGUGGUUUAAACACCAGAUAAAUCUCC
This is a long non-coding RNA of Tachysurus vachellii, 1043 nucleotides long. RefSeq lists it as uncharacterized. The record is from RefSeq and is a predicted model, not a curated record. The transcript has 3 exons. Lineage: Eukaryota; Metazoa; Chordata; Actinopteri; Siluriformes; Bagridae.